UAACGUCGCAUUAGUCAUAUAAUAAUACGUUGUAGAUAUUAUAAAUUCUUAAGAUACAUAACUUAAACCCUAAAUUAAGAAUAGGUCGUUACAUAUUCUAGUGACCUUGAAUGGUCCUACCCAGGUGCAAUCAAAUUUCGAGGUUUUAGGUUCUUUAAGCUUACUGCUGCUGUAGAUUGAGUUUUUGUAAUUCUGGAGAAUAAAUCAUCCAAAUAACCUAUGAAAGUACGUGGUGGUUCCUGCUUAGAAAAUUCAGAUGGAAUGGUGGCUUUCACGCCAAACACCAGUUCGUGUGGGGUGAACCCAGUGGCUUCAUGUACUGAGGUAUUAUAGGAGAAUAUGCCAAAUCU
This is a non-coding RNA of Osmia lignaria (orchard mason bee), 350 nucleotides long. The record is from RefSeq and is a predicted model, not a curated record. Lineage: Eukaryota; Metazoa; Arthropoda; Insecta; Hymenoptera; Megachilidae.